UGGGGAAUUUUGGACAAUGGGGGAAACCCUGAUCCAGCCAUCCCGCGUGUGCGAUGAAGGCCUUCGGGUUGUAAAGCACUUUUGGCAGGAAAGAAACGUCAUGGGUUAAUACCCCGUGAAACUGACGGUACCUGCAGAAUAAGCACCGGCUAACUACGUGCCAGCAGCCGCGGUAAUACGUAGGGUGCAAGCGUUAAUCGGAAUUACUGGGCGUAAAGCGUGCGCAGGCGGUUCGGGAAGAAAGAUGUGAAAUCCCAGAGCUCAACUUUGGAACUGCCUUUUUUACUACCGGGCUAGAGUGUGUCAGAGGGAGGGUGAAUUCCGCGUGUAGCAGUGAAAUGCGUUGAUAUGCGGAGGAACACCGAUGGAGAAGGCAACCUCCUGGGAUAACACUGACGCUCAUGCACGAAAGCGUGGGGAGCAAACAGG
Molecule: ribosomal RNA, 429 nt
Filed under: Acidobacteriota bacterium
Lineage: Bacteria; Pseudomonadati; Acidobacteriota
Description: Acidobacteria bacterium partial 16S ribosomal RNA
Rfam family: Bacterial small subunit ribosomal RNA
Source: RNAcentral